ACCUCUUGAGGUGCCUGCACAAAGCUUGAAAGGGAAAGAGGAAGUGUGAGCUGUAGACACUAACAGUGACACCAGCAGGAGCGGAGACUUCCCAAGCAGCCCCUGUCUCAGGGCCAGGGAAGCACACCCACAAGACCAGAAUGCCAAGCAGGGAGACUCAGGGUCCCCACGCCUCUGCCUGUGUGACCCUGCCAUGGGCUGCAGCCUCCACUGUGGUGUGGUCCAUUGUCUCAGGCCCCACAGAUACUGGAAUUACCCAGACACCAAAAUACCUGGUCACAGCAAUGAGGAGUAAAAGGACAAUGAAAUGUGAGCAUCUGGGACAUGAUUCUAUGUACUGGUACCGACAGAAAGCUAACAAAUCCCUGGAGUUCAUGUUUCACUACAACUAUAAGGAACUCAUUCAAAACGAGACUGUGCCAACACAGUGUCACACCUGAAUGCCGACAGCUCUUGUGUACACCUUCAUGUGGUCAUGCUGCAGCUAGAAGACUCAGCUGUGAAUCUCUGUACCAGCAGCCAAGGCACAGCCCUGCAGAGUCAUCGCCUCCCUAUGCACAAACCUCCUGGGUCUAGUGAGGAACCCGUGGGGGCAACAUGUCCAGCUGAGCCUCAACACUCAGUUGAGCAUUCCGGAGGGCCUCGGCAGACAUCUCAGACUAUAAUACUGUCAUUUAUUGGAUGUGACAAUUGCCCAGACACCUGCAGCCCACGUCCUGACUUUGUCUUGAAUGAGACUGUGCCUGAACUUGAAUGCAGGACAGAUGCUGUCAAGUUUAAGUUGUUCCAAGUAUCUUCCAGUUCGUUUGUGCCUCAGGAAAUCUUGUGUGUAGCAUUUAACACUCUGGCCACACCAAUCUGCCUUCCAAUAUGAACCUUUUUUAUUUAUCUUUCCACCCAAGUUAGACCCUGGAUCUCACCCCUCAUCCCAGCUCAAAAUCUACUCAAACCUUUUCUUUUGUUUUUUGUUUGCUUGUUUGUUUUUAGAUGAAGUCUCACUCUGUCAC
Molecule: non-coding RNA, 1007 nt
Organism: Cercocebus atys (sooty mangabey)
Lineage: Eukaryota; Metazoa; Chordata; Mammalia; Primates; Cercopithecidae
Source: the annotation of a RefSeq genome assembly